CCUACGGUGGGCUGCAGUGGGGAAUCUUCCGCAAUGGGCGAAAGCCUGACGGAGCAACGCCGCGUGAUCGAAUGAAGGCCUUCGGGUUGUAAAGAUCUGUUGACAGGGACGAAUAAGCAAUGCAAAUCGUUUUGUGUAUGACGGUCCCCGUUUAGAAAGCCCCGGCUAACUACGUGCCAGCAGCCGUGGCAAUACGUAGGGAGAAUGCGUUGUCCGUAAGUACUGGGCGUAAAGGGCGCGUAGGUGGGCGCGUAAGUCAGGUGGGAAAACUCCGGGCUCAACCUGGGGACUGCACUUGAAACUGGGUGUCUUGAGGGCAGGAGAGGAAAGUGGAAUUCCUAGUGUAGCGGUGAAAUGCGUAGAUAUUAGGAGGAACACCAGUGGCGAAGGCGACUUUCUGGACUGUAACUGACGCUGAGGCGCGAAAGCGUGGGUAGCGAACGGGAUUAGAUACCCCAGUAGUC
RNAcentral lists this ribosomal RNA (464 nucleotides) under uncultured bacterium. RNAcentral describes it as "partial 16S ribosomal RNA". It matches the Rfam family "Bacterial small subunit ribosomal RNA", at positions 338 to 795 of the family's 1533-position model. The record is from RNAcentral.